This 425-nucleotide ribosomal RNA is filed under the name uncultured bacterium. RNAcentral describes it as "partial 16S ribosomal RNA". It matches the Rfam family "Bacterial small subunit ribosomal RNA", at positions 359 to 776 of the family's 1533-position model. The record is from RNAcentral.
GAAUAUUGGACAAUGGGCGAAAGCCUGAUCCAGCCAUGCCGCGUGUGUGAAGAAGGUCUUCGGAUUGUAAAGCACUUUAAGUUGGGAGGAAGGGUUGUAGAUUAAUACUCUGCAAUUUUGACGUUACCGACAGAAUAAGCACCGGCUAACUUCGUGCCAGCAGCCGCGGUAACACGAAGGGUGCAAGCGUUAAUCGGAAUUACUGGGCGUAAAGCGCGCGUAGGUGGUUUGUUAAGUUGGAAGUGAAAGCCCCGGGCUCAACCUGGGAAUUGCAGUGGAUACUGGGCGACUAGAGUGUGGUAGAGGGUAGUGGAAUUCCCGGUGUAGCAGUGAAAUGCGUAGAUAUAGGAAGGAACACCAGUGGCGAAGGCGACCACCUGGGCUAAUACUGACACUGAGGUGCGAAAGCGUGGGGAGCAAACAGG